CCUACGGGGGGCAGCAGUGGGGAAUAUUGGACAAUGGGGGGAACCCUGAUCCAGCCAUGCCGCGUGUGUGAAGAAGGCCCUCGGGUUGUAAAGCACUUUCAGUGAGGAAGAACGCCUGGUGGUUAAUACCCAUCAGGAAAGACAUCACUCACAGAAGAAGCACCGGCUAACUCCGUGCCAGCAGCCGCGGUAAUACGGAGGGUGCGAGCGUUAAUCGGAAUUACUGGGCGUAAAGCGCGCGUAGGUGGCUUGAUAAGCCGGUUGUGAAAGCCCCGGGCUCAACCUGGGAACGGCAUACGGAACUGUCAAGCUAGAGUGCAGGAGAGGAAGGUAGAAUUCCCGGUGUAGCGGUGAAAUGCGUAGAGAUCGGGAGGAAUACCAGUGGCGAAGGCGGCCUUCUGGACUGACACUGACACUGAGGUGCGAAAGCGUGGGUAGCAAACAGGAUUAGAUACCCGUGUAGUC
RNAcentral lists this ribosomal RNA (465 nucleotides) under Vreelandella stevensii. RNAcentral's name for it is "partial 16S ribosomal RNA". It matches the Rfam family "Bacterial small subunit ribosomal RNA", at positions 338 to 795 of the family's 1533-position model. Lineage: Bacteria; Pseudomonadati; Pseudomonadota; Gammaproteobacteria; Oceanospirillales; Halomonadaceae. The record is from RNAcentral.